RNAcentral lists this long non-coding RNA (540 nucleotides) under Manihot esculenta (cassava). RNAcentral's name for it is "long non-coding RNA (MESC_LNC002922)". Lineage: Eukaryota; Viridiplantae; Streptophyta; Magnoliopsida; Malpighiales; Euphorbiaceae. The record is from RNAcentral.
AGGCAAUGGAAGGAGGCAACCACCGUGGGCGGUGAUGGCGAUGGUAUCAGCUACAGUUGUCUAAUGUUAGUGUUGUGGGUGGGUUUGUUAACUCUUUCUAUAGUUUCAGCCAUAAUAUUUUCUUGCGCACAAGGCAUGUCUAAAGAGAAUAAGUCUGCAGAAGUUGAUGAAACCCUUUACGGUGGCGGAUGCGGUGCUGGAUGUGGAGCAGCCUGCGGUGGUUGAUUAGUUUCACAGAAAUAAGGAACUUCCCAUUUUGUGUUAUGUGAUUCUUGCUUGGAAUAUUAAUAGAGCCAUCAGUUUUGAGAAGCUAAGGCAAAGGUGUUGCCCUAACCAAAUCGUUGAAGAGAAUUUUCAACUCUUCGUUUGUAUUUUUCCUUGAGUUUGAUUCUUGUAACUCUGCAAUUUUCUUCCUUCCCUAACAAAUAGAGAGAAAAAAAUAAUGUUAAUUAAAUUUAUUCCGAUAAUUUGUUUAUAUGAUUUUUAAUUUCCUUAUUAAAGAAGCUGAUAGCUAAUGCGAUUAUUAAUAUGUGAAUCACA